RNAcentral lists this ribosomal RNA (883 nucleotides) under Apiospora paraphaeosperma. Its description in RNAcentral is "eukaryotic LSU rRNA". It matches the Rfam family "Eukaryotic large subunit ribosomal RNA", at positions 32 to 943 of the family's 3401-position model. Lineage: Eukaryota; Fungi; Ascomycota; Sordariomycetes; Amphisphaeriales; Apiosporaceae. The record is from RNAcentral.
ACUUAAGCAUAUCAAUAAGCGGAGGAAAAGAAACCAACAGGGAUUCCCCUAGUAACGGCGAGUGAAGCGGGAACAGCUCAAAUUUGAAAUCUGGCCCUUGGGUCCGAGUUGUAAUUUGCAGAGGAUGCUUUUGGUGCGGUGCCUUCCGAGUUCCCUGGAACGGGACGCCUUAGAGGGUGAGAGCCCCGUACGGUUGGCCACCAAGCCUGUGUAAAGCUCCUUCGACGAGUCGAGUAGUUUGGGAAUGCUGCUCAAAAUGGGAGGUAUAUUUCUUCUAAAGCUAAAUACUGGCCAGAGACCGAUAGCGCACAAGUAGAGUGAUCGAAAGAUGAAAAGCACUUUGAAAAGAGGGUUAAAUAGCACGUGAAAUUGUUGAAAGGGAAGGAUUUAUGACCAGACUUUUUCUAGGGGGAUCAUCCGGUGUUCUCACCGGUGCACUUCCCCUAGUUGAGGCCAGCAUCGGUUUCUGUCGGGGGAUAAAAGCUUCAGGAAUGUGGCUCCCUCCGGGGAGUGUUAUAGCCUGUUGCAUAAUACCCUGACGGGGACCGAGGUUCGCGCAUUGCAAGGAUGCUGGCGUAAUGGUUAUUAAUCACCCGUCUUGAAACACGGACCAAGGAGUCGAACAUUUGUGCGAGUGUUUGGGUGUUAAACCCUCACGCGUAAUGAAAGUGAACGGAGGUGAGAGCCCUUCGGGGUGCAUCAUCGACCGAUCCUGAUGUCUUCGGAUGGAUUUGAGUAAGAGCAUAACUGUUCGGACCCGAAAGAUGGUGAACUAUGCGUGGAUAGGGUGAAGCCAGAGGAAACUCUGGUGGAGGCUCGCAGCGGUUCUGACGUGCAAAUCGAUCGUCAAAUCUGCGCAUGGGGCGAAAGACUAAUCGACCAU